Molecule: non-coding RNA, 77 nt
Organism: Podarcis lilfordi (Lilford's wall lizard)
Lineage: Eukaryota; Metazoa; Chordata; Lepidosauria; Squamata; Lacertidae
Source: the annotation of a GenBank genome assembly
GCCAUUGUGGUUUAGUGGUUAGAGUGUCGGUCUAAGACUGGGGAGACCUGGGUUCAAAUCCCCACUCAACCUUGACA